This is a long non-coding RNA of Stegostoma tigrinum, 1870 nucleotides long. RefSeq lists it as uncharacterized. The transcript has 5 exons. The record is from RefSeq and is a predicted model, not a curated record. Lineage: Eukaryota; Metazoa; Chordata; Chondrichthyes; Orectolobiformes; Stegostomatidae.
ACCACGUGAUCAUCCACAAGAGCAGUGCAGGUUCGCUGAGAUAAGUAGGAACUGCCGAUGACGGAGAUUCCGAGACACUGAGGUGUAGAGCUGGGUGAAUAUAACAGGCCAAGAAGUAUCAGAGGAGCAGGAAAGCUGACGUUUUGUGCCUGGUCCCUUCGCUGAGACUAAGGUUUGUGCAAUUGAGAUACCAGCGAUCGUUGCCAAAGCCCUGUUACCUGUGGAGAAGGUCAUGUUUAACUUUUCCUGUGCUGCUGCAGUUCGUAUGAUGAAGGUGCUCCCACAAUUGUGGUCAUUUGAGAAGUUACAGAUCAUUCAUCUAGCGAUACUGAAGAGCUGAUGGUGAUUCGAACCCAGGUCCCCGGAAUGGUGUCUGGGUCUCUGGAUUAAUAAUCUGGCGAUAAUACUGUUUAUCAACUGAGGGAGGAUGGUCCAUGGCAUUCAACAGGAGCCAUGAGUCUUCCAGGCGUCAGAGUCAAUGUCGUAUUCCCAGGUCAAUUACUGCGAUCAGAAUAGCACUGUGCUGCCAUGUCUGUCCUGCUCCUGGGACAGGCCUUCACUACGGACCUUGAUGGUGGUGUGUGUCACUUGUCUAUAAGGAUAUUACAAGUGGACUUUCAGGUGGGGAAACUCAAUAAUUGUAACCCCAAACUCUGACAGAGUUCCUCACUUCAUCAACAUCUGGAUAUUUGCAUUGUGUUGACAAAGAAUGUUGAAGAAGACAAAACAAUGGACGUUUUCGAUAUGGGCUUCAGCAAGGCAUUCACCAAAACUCCACAUGACGGACAGGUUAGCAAGAUGAGAUCAAGUGGAAUCCAGGGAGACUGAGCUAUUUGAAACAAAAUUGGCUUGAAGGUAGGAAACAGGAUCGUGGUGGGUGUGUUGUAUUUUUUUCAGUCUGGAGGACUAUUAACAGCAGUGUGCUGCAAGGAUUGGUGCUGGCUUCACUGCUUUUUAUCAUUGAUACAACUCAUGUGGAAUGCAUAUUGGAGGAAUGGUUAGUAAGUGUGCAGAUGACGCAAAUUGUUUAUGCAGUAAACAGCAAAGAAGGUUGUCUCCAAGGACAAUCGGAUCUUAAUCAGAUGGGUCGAAUGGCCCAGGAGUGAUAGAAAUCAGUUUAGUUUGGAUAAAUGAGUGCUUUUGCAUUAUGGUAAUGAAAAUCACGGCAGGGCUGAAACACUUAUUGAUGAGGCCCUGGGGACUGUUACGCAACAGCGACUCCUUGAGGUGCACGUGCACAGUUCCUUGAAGGUGGAUUGCAGGUACAGAAGGUACUGAAGAUGAUAUUUGCUAUGCUUGCAUUAAUUGGUCAGUGCAUUGAGUGUAGGAGUUGGGAGGUCAUGUUAUAGGCUGAACAAGGCAUUGAUUAUGCUGCUUUUGGAAUACUGUGUUCAGUUCUGGUCUCCCUGCUAUAGGAAUGAUGCAGUUAAACUUAGCAGGGUGCAGGAAAGAUUUAGAAGGAUGUUGGAAGUUUUGAGCUGCAGGGAGAGGCCGAAUAUGCUGGGGCUAUUUUCCCUGGAGCAUUGAAGGCUGAGAGGUUACCUUAGAGGUUAAUAAAAUUAUGGUGGGCAUGGAGUGAGUAGCCAAGGUUGUUGACCUGGGGUUGGGGAGACUGGAACUAAACACAUUGGUUUAAGCUGAGAAGGAAAUUUUUUUAAGGGAAAGUGGGUGGUGCCUGUGUAGAAUGACCUGCCAGAGGAACUGGUGGAAGCUGGUACAAUUAUGACAUUUAAAAGGCAUCUGGAUGGGUAUGUCAAUAGGUUGGGUUUAGAGGAAUAUGGGUCAAUUGCUUGCAAAUGGGAUUAGAUUAAUUUGGGACAUAGGGUCAGCAUGGACAACUGGGAUGAAAGGGAUUGGUUUAUGCUGUACA